Molecule: long non-coding RNA, 248 nt
Filed under: Citrus maxima (pomelo)
Lineage: Eukaryota; Viridiplantae; Streptophyta; Magnoliopsida; Sapindales; Rutaceae
Description: long non-coding RNA (CMAX_LNC000091)
Source: RNAcentral
GUUUUGUGGGACUUUUGAUAGAAGCUUGUCUACAAGCGUCACGGGCACAUCUGGUAUACCAACAAUAAAUUCAAAAAUGGAACUCUGAUCGACAGUAAUGCAGGCCAAGGCAUUUGGAGUCUUGCUCAUUAUGUAAUCUUCUAAACCUUUCCAAUCAUCCUCCAAUAUAUACCUCGUAACUUGCUUGUAGUUAGCAAUAUCCUUUAUUAUCUUCUCAUCUGUCCAUCAAUUAUCGAACGUACAGCAAU